GAAUGAGUGUACCAGAAGGUUAUGAAAUCAGAGUUCAGUAUCAGGGACGAGAUGAGUCACUGGACUUGGUGUACAAGGUCAGAAAGGGUUGGAUUUGAUGGUGGGUCACAGUCCAGGCCCUCAAGCCUGGAGUGGAGCUGAAUAUCAAGUUAGGAACUCCCUGAGUGUCAACCAAUCAGGGUAUCAGUCAUCAAGUCCUUGUCUGGACUUCUGAGGAAGGACCCUGUGUAGGAUGUCCUAUCUAUGAAAGCUAAGCCUCCCUUUUCACUCUUGGGGUCCAGUAGCCAAAGUCCAUGCUGUUACACAGGAGAUUUCAUUUGCCUCAACCACCUUAUGAGGUCCUGAGAAUGUCCUAGAAGGAAGCAGAUCUUGCUGUUACAGUGAGCAGACCCAGCAAUCAAUCUCAGUUGCAUUGUGGCGUCCUGUCUAUUUUGCCAUAUGUGAUGCCGGCAGUGAGAUUUUCAAAAGCGAAGGUGAUGAAUGUGUUAGACUUUCAAACCUGCAGAAGUUACUCGAGUGGUUUCCAUCAGGUAAUGGACAUUGGAGAGAGACCUAGAAAAGAUUGCCCACACUGAGCUACUUGAGGAGAACCAGCAUGGUUUCUGAUGCAUGGUGUUGAAUAA
Long non-coding RNA from Hipposideros armiger (great roundleaf bat), 623 nucleotides. RefSeq lists it as uncharacterized. NCBI's taxonomy places the organism in Eukaryota, Metazoa, Chordata, Mammalia, Chiroptera, Hipposideridae. The transcript is spliced from 3 exons. The record is from RefSeq and is a predicted model, not a curated record.